AGCAGCCGCGGUAAUUCCAGCUCCAAUAGCGUAUAUUAAAGUUGUUGCAGUUAAAAGCUCGUAGUUGAAUUUCGGGGUUAGUAGGUUGGUCAUGCCUCUGGUAUGUACUGGUCUCACUGAUUCCUCCUUCCUGAUGAACCUUAAUGCCAUUUAAUUUGGUGUUGCGGGGAAUUUGGACUGUUACUUUGAAAAAUUAGAGUGUUUAAAGCAAGCUAACGCUUGAAUACAUUAGCAUGGAAUAAUGAAAUAGGACGUUCGAUCCUUAUUUUGUUGGUUUCUAGGAUUGACGUAAUGAUUAAUAGGGAUAGGUUGGGGGCAUUAGUAUUCAAUU
RNAcentral lists this unclassified non-coding RNA (331 nucleotides) under uncultured Entrophospora. RNAcentral describes it as "SSU rRNA". It matches the Rfam family "Eukaryotic small subunit ribosomal RNA", at positions 569 to 903 of the family's 1831-position model. The record is from RNAcentral. Lineage: Eukaryota; Fungi; Glomeromycota; Glomeromycetes; Entrophosporales; Entrophosporaceae.